Molecule: ribosomal RNA, 582 nt
Filed under: Bacillus sp. Pd-S-(l)-l-N-1(3)
Lineage: Bacteria; Bacillati; Bacillota; Bacilli; Caryophanales; Bacillaceae
Description: bacterial SSU rRNA
Rfam family: Bacterial small subunit ribosomal RNA
Source: RNAcentral
ACGAUGCGUAGCCGACCUGAGAGGGUGAUCGGCCACACUGGGACUGAGACACGGCCCAGACUCCUACGGGAGGCAGCAGUAGGGAAUCUUCCGCAAUGGACGAAAGUCUGACGGAGCAACGCCGCGUGAGUGAUGAAGGUUUUCGGAUCGUAAAGCUCUGUUGUUAGGGAAGAACAAGUACCGUUCGAAUAGGGCGGUACCUUGACGGUACCUAACCAGAAAGCCACGGCUAACUACGUGCCAGCAGCCGCGGUAAUACGUAGGUGGCAAGCGUUGUCCGGAAUUAUUGGGCGUAAAGGGCUCGCAGGCGGUUUCUUAAGUCUGAUGUGAAAGCCCCCGGCUCAACCGGGGAGGGUCAUUGGAAACUGGGGAACUUGAGUGCAGAAGAGGAGAGUGGAAUUCCACGUGUAGCGGUGAAAUGCGUAGAGAUGUGGAGGAACACCAGUGGCGAAGGCGACUCUCUGGUCUGUAACUGACGCUGAGGAGCGAAAGCGUGGGGAGCGAACAGGAUUAGAUACCCUGGUAGUCCACGCCGUAAACGAUGAGUGCUAAGUGUUAGGGGGUUUCCGCCCCUUAGUGCUC